AAGAGGGAAAUCUACCACUAGGAGGGUGAGCUUGGCGCAACUCUUGCAGCCAAACGUCCUCACAACUGAAGCAGGAAGUGGCUUUUCUAUCUUCAGGGAAUGGUUGUUUCUGGGACCGUCCUUCACAGGCUUGCAGUACCUGAACUGAACCAGUGUCUGGGUGUGGAGGAUCCACCUGAGGAUUGUUGCCAACAGCCAUAAAAAGAGAACUGGAGGGGAAGAUCGAAGGCUGUUGAUUUUCUAGGAGCAGCUUGUGUGGAUGGUCUUCCUGAUAGGAACUCGGCUGUUUUCAUCAGAGGGGGAGCUCAGGCCUCACUGUGGCUGGGAAUGGCUGCUGUUCUGUCAGGGGAGCUCUGAUCUUCACCGUGAGCAUCACUUCCUGGCUCCAGUAUGGAUCCCUCAGCCUGUGGCACAAAUCCUUCACCCCACCGGCAUAGGCUUUCUGGCUCCCACCACUGGCCUUUGGGCCUUCAGGUGCAGAUCCUCAAUACUGACAAGCGUGAGACGUUGCCAUGGGCUCUGGGCCUCUGGCUGGACUCAUGGAGGACACUGCCUUGGGCUCUAAGCCUUUAGCUGGACUUGUGUGGGAAAUUGCUGAUCCAGGCUCUCGGCUAGAUUCUUUGGGCCCCUAAUGUGUGGCUAAUCUCUUGCACUCCUUUGCAUUUGACUUUUGGGGUAAUUAUCAUAAAGUAAUCCUAUAAACUAUGUGUCCUGCAGUAAAUUUAUUCUCUUGCCAAACCCUGACUAUAGCAAUCUCCAAACUGAGUCUUAUCUAAAAGUCCUUCUAAAAUGUCUUUGGAAUUUAUUAAAAUGUUUCUACAUGC
RNAcentral lists this long non-coding RNA (824 nucleotides) under Heterocephalus glaber (naked mole-rat). Its description in RNAcentral is "lncRNA (ENSHGLG00100045843.1)". Lineage: Eukaryota; Metazoa; Chordata; Mammalia; Rodentia; Bathyergidae. The record is from RNAcentral.